RNAcentral lists this ribosomal RNA (465 nucleotides) under Vreelandella stevensii. RNAcentral's name for it is "partial 16S ribosomal RNA". It matches the Rfam family "Bacterial small subunit ribosomal RNA", at positions 338 to 795 of the family's 1533-position model. The record is from RNAcentral. Lineage: Bacteria; Pseudomonadati; Pseudomonadota; Gammaproteobacteria; Oceanospirillales; Halomonadaceae.
CCUACGGGUGGCAGCAGUGGGGAAUAUUGGACAAUGGGGGCAACCCUGAUCCAGCCAUGCCGCGUGUGUGAAGAAGGCCCUCGGGUUGUAAAGCACUUUCAGUGAGGAAGAACGCCUGGUGGUUAAUACCCAUCAGGAAAGACAUCACUCACAGAAGAAGCACCGGCUAACUCCGUGCCAGCAGCCGCGGUAAUACGGAGGGUGCGAGCGUUAAUCGGAAUUACUGGGCGUAAAGCGCGCGUAGGUGGCUUGAUAAGCCGGUUGUGAAAGCCCCGGGCUCAACCUGGGAACGGCAUCCGGAACUGUCAAGCUAGAGUGCAGGAGAGGAAGGUAGAAUUCCCGGUGUAGCGGUGAAAUGCGUAGAGAUCGGGAGGAAUACCAGUGGCGGAGGCGGCCUUCUGGACUGACACUGACACUGAGGUGCGAAAGCGUGGGUAGCAAACAGGAUUAGAUACCCUAGUAGUC